RNA transcript from Eurytemora carolleeae, 1093 nucleotides. It is a transcript of the gene named protein YIPF6, with no coding region annotated. The transcript has 11 exons. Lineage: Eukaryota; Metazoa; Arthropoda; Copepoda; Calanoida; Temoridae. The record is from RefSeq and is a predicted model, not a curated record.
GCGUAUUUCGAAAUGAUUAUAAAUUUUUUCAGAAAAUAAAUUAAAAAAUUACAAACAAACAAAUGAGAAAUUUGAACAUUGUCCAGAAGGAUAAGUAUACAGAGAAUUAAACAAUGCAGGGUUCAGUUUCACAGGACAAACUGGUGCUGUUCGAUUCGUUAGAGGAUGAUGAACCUGUUCUUGAAGGAAAUAUAUCCGUUCCAGGAACAGCAGGAGAACCUAAUGGAGCAGGAGACCUAGAAUUUAAUACAUUAGAUGAACCUAUUAGUCAAACAAUCAGGCGAGAUUUAUCUGCCGUAGGAUCCAAGUUUUUCCACGUUUUAUAUCCAGUUGAGAAGAAAAGUUUAUUAAAAGAAUGGGAUCUCUGGGGGCCUCUCAUCCUUUGUACCUUCAUGGCGACAGUGCUACAGGGGCAUGAUACUGAUGGAGGGGGAGGCGGGGAUGGUGGACCUGAAUUUGCAGAGGUGUUUGUGAUAGUGUGGGUUGGAUCUCUGAUAGUAACUUUAAACACUAAGCUGGUUGGAGGGAAUAUUUCAUUCUUCCAGAGUGUUUGCGUACUUGGAUACUGUUUGUUACCGCUGGCGAUAUCGCUGUUUGUUUGCCGGAUAGUUCUGUUGAUAUCAGACGGAACUGCAGUUUUAAUUGUUCGCUCCAUCGCCGUUCUCUUAGGAUUUAUUUGGUCAACCUAUGCUUCUAUGAAGUUCCUAGGAGAUUGCAGUCCAACAAACAAAAAGUUGAUGUCAAUGUAUCCGAUGCUGUUGUUCUACAUUGUUAUUGCUUGGAUGGUGAUAUCACAUUCAAACUAAGCUAACAACAUCAUAACAACAUCAGGACAACAACAAAAUUGGCAAAAUAUCAACCGCAUUUUUACCCACCGCAAACUGUUGCUAUCACCUCAAAAUUUGUUUAUUACUUUUUUGAAUACUUGAUUUUUGCCAAAUAUCUUCCAAUAAAAUCCAAUCCCGGAAGAUGUUUAUUUUCCUACUUUUCUAUGAUAUUAGGGGCGUUUUCAAGUUUGUUUGUGAUUUGUCAGUGUACUGCACGUUGUGAUAAUUAUUACCUGUUUUGUAAAUAAAGAAUACUAUUUUCAGUU